CCAGUCGGCCGGGCGGCCGCUCCCCAUCGGGGAGAGGAAAGUCCGGGCUCCACGGGAACACGGUGCCGGGUAACGCCCGGCGGGGGCGACCCCAGGGAAAGUGCCACAGAAAGCAGACCGCCCGGCUCUUCUGCCGGGUAAGGGUGAAAGGGUGCGGUAAGAGCGCACCGCGUCGCCGGCAACGGGGACGGCACGGUAAACCCCACCGGGAGCAAGACCGAAUAGGGGUGGCAGGAGGCCUCCGCGGCCUCGCGCGCGUUCCUGCGCCGCCGCCCGGGUUGGUUGCUUGAGGCGUCCGGCGACGGGCGUCCCAGAUGAAUGGUCGCCGCGGGCCCUCCGGGGGCCGCACAGAACCCGGCUUACAGGCCGACUGGCACC
RNAcentral lists this RNase P RNA (378 nucleotides) under Lutibaculum baratangense AMV1. Its description in RNAcentral is "Phyllobacteriaceae bacterium AMV1 Bacterial RNase P class A". It matches the Rfam family "Bacterial RNase P class A". Rfam says of the family: Ribonuclease P (RNase P) is a ubiquitous endoribonuclease, found in archaea, bacteria and eukarya as well as chloroplasts and mitochondria. Its best characterised activity is the generation of mature 5'-ends of tRNAs by cleaving the 5'-leader elements of precursor-tRNAs. Lineage: Bacteria; Pseudomonadati; Pseudomonadota; Alphaproteobacteria; Hyphomicrobiales; Tepidamorphaceae. The record is from Rfam by way of RNAcentral.